GAUGAACGCUAGCUACAGGCUUAACACAUGCAAGUCGAGGGGCAGCACGGAGAUAGCUUGCUAUCUUGGGUGGCGACCGGCGCACGGGUGAGUAACGCGUAUCCAACCUGCCCAUUACUCUGGGAUAGCCUUGCGAAAGUAAGAUUAAUACCGGAUGUUGUUUGAUUGCCGCAUGACGGUCAAACCAAAGAUUCAUCGGUAAGGGAUGGGGAUGCGUAUGAUUAGCUUGUUGGCGGGGUAACGGCCCACCAAGGCAACGAUCAUUAGGGGUUCUGAGAGGAAGGUCCCCCCACACUGGAACUGAGACACGGUCCAGACUCCUACGGGAGGCAGCAGUGAGGAAUAUUGGUCAAUGGACGCAAGUCUGAACCAGCCAAGUCGCGUGCAGGAUAAGGCCCUAUGGGUCGCAGACUGCUUUUGCAUGAGAAUAAAAAGUGGGACGAGUCCCACCCUGUAGGUAUCAUGCGAAUAAGGAUCGGCUAACUCCGUG
RNAcentral lists this ribosomal RNA (490 nucleotides) under uncultured bacterium. Its description in RNAcentral is "bacterial SSU rRNA". It matches the Rfam family "Bacterial small subunit ribosomal RNA", at positions 28 to 507 of the family's 1533-position model. The record is from RNAcentral.